This 45-nucleotide non-coding RNA is filed under the name Schistosoma mattheei. The record is from RNAcentral. Lineage: Eukaryota; Metazoa; Platyhelminthes; Trematoda; Strigeidida; Schistosomatidae.
AUCCAGAUGAAGAGUCACAAAUGGGACGAAACACGCGUCCUGGAU